UACGGAGGGUGCGAGCGUUGUCCGGAAUCACUGGGCGUAAAGGGCGCGUAGGCGGCCUGAUAAGUAGGGGGUGAAAUCCUGCGGCUUAACCGCAGGGCUGCCUUCUAAACUGUCAGGCUUGAGCACAGUAGAGGCAGGUGGAAUUCCCGGUGUAGCGGUGGAAUGCGUAGAGAUCGGGAAGAACAUCAGUGGCGAAGGCGGCCUGCUGGGCUGUUGCUGACGCUGAGGCGCGGCAGCGUGGGGGGCAAACAGG
Molecule: ribosomal RNA, 253 nt
Filed under: uncultured bacterium
Lineage: Bacteria
Description: partial 16S ribosomal RNA
Rfam family: Bacterial small subunit ribosomal RNA
Source: RNAcentral